This 394-nucleotide long non-coding RNA is filed under the name Brassica napus (rape). RNAcentral's name for it is "long non-coding RNA (BNAP_LNC000621)". The record is from RNAcentral. Lineage: Eukaryota; Viridiplantae; Streptophyta; Magnoliopsida; Brassicales; Brassicaceae.
AAUUUUACUGUAAUAUAGUUUCCUACAAUUUAUACCAAAAAAAAAACUCAACGUUCACUGCAUGUGAUAGUAUGAUUUUCUAAUCAAACUUUCAUAACUCAAACAUGGCUACUCUAAAAAGAAAAAUAUAUCGAGUCAUAUUCAUAUGAACAAAAUUAAAUAUUGAUAUUGGCGAGUUAUAUGACUACUGUUUUUCCAUAAAGAAUCACAUGCGUAAGAAACAUGUCUAGCAAGAAAAAAAAUCAUUUGGACUUAUGAAUCAAGUAUAAAUGGUAUCAACACAAACACAUGAAAAAGAUAGGUAUAUAAGAUUAAAGAAAAAUACAUGGUAUGGAGUAACAGGAAUAACAACAUCUAAGUAUGGCUGAAUGGCAACUAACCUCGAGUCACUUAA